GGCGCUUUGGCGGAGUGGUUAACGCGAUGCCCUGCUAUGAAUUUCCGAAAUUUCCGGAAUUUCUGGAAUUUCCGGUCCAUAGCAAGUUAGGCAUUUCCUUCGGGAGCGCAGGUUCGAAUCCUGCAGGCGUCG
Non-coding RNA from Xylariomycetidae sp. FL2044, 132 nucleotides. Lineage: Eukaryota; Fungi; Ascomycota; Sordariomycetes. The record is from the annotation of a GenBank genome assembly.